This 253-nucleotide ribosomal RNA is filed under the name uncultured bacterium. RNAcentral describes it as "partial 16S ribosomal RNA". It matches the Rfam family "Bacterial small subunit ribosomal RNA", at positions 524 to 776 of the family's 1533-position model. The record is from RNAcentral.
UACGUAGGGGGCAAGCGUUAUCCGGAUUUACUGGGUGUAAAGGGAGCGUAGACGGCAGGGCAAGUCUGGAGUGAAAGGCAGGGGCCCAACCCCUGGACUGCUCUGGAAACUGUCCGGCUGGAGUGCAGGAGAGGUAAGUGGAAUUCCUAGUGUAGCGGUGAAAUGCGUAGAUAUUAGGAGGAACACCAGUGGCGAAGGCGGCUUACUGGACUGUAACUGACGUUGAGGCUCGAAAGCGUGGGGAGCAAACAGG